GUAACACGUAAGUAAUCUGCCUUCAAGUUUUGGGAUAACCCUGCCAACGCGGGGCUAAUACCGGAUGUGGUCCAGCAGACCCAUGUUUGCGGGAUUAAAGGUCGCGAGACCGCUUGGAGAUGAGCUUGCGGCCCAUUAGCUAGUUGGUGAGGUAACGGCCCACCAAGGCAGGGAUGGGUAGCCGGCCUGAGAGGGUGUACGGCCACAUUGGGACUGAGAUACGGCCCAGACUCCUACGGGAGGCAGCAGUAGGGAAUUUUGCGCAAUGGACGGAAGUCUGACGCCAGCAACGCCGCGUGAAGGAUGAAGGCCUUCGGGUUGUAAACUUCUGUUGGAUGGGAAAAAAGCCUUUUAAGAGGAAUUGAUGGUACCAUUCGAGUAAGCACCGGCUAACUACGUGCCAGCCGCCGC
This 411-nucleotide ribosomal RNA is filed under the name uncultured bacterium. Its description in RNAcentral is "bacterial SSU rRNA". It matches the Rfam family "Bacterial small subunit ribosomal RNA", at positions 110 to 518 of the family's 1533-position model. The record is from RNAcentral.